RNAcentral lists this ribosomal RNA (352 nucleotides) under uncultured bacterium. Its description in RNAcentral is "partial 16S ribosomal RNA". It matches the Rfam family "Bacterial small subunit ribosomal RNA", at positions 338 to 706 of the family's 1533-position model. The record is from RNAcentral.
CCUACGGGAGGCAGCAGUGGGGGAUAUUGCACAAUGGGGGGAACCCUGAUGCAGCGACGCCGCGUGGGUGAAGGCUUGCUUCGGCAUGUAAAGCCCUAUCGGCAGGGGAGAAGCAAGACGGUACCUGACUAAGAAGCCCCGGCUAAGUACGUGCGAGCAGCCGCGGUACUACGCAGGGGGCGAGCGUUUUCCGGAUUCACUGGGUGUAAAGGGAGCGUAGACGGCCAAGCAAGCCAGGGGUGAAAGCCUGGGGCUCAACCCCGGGACUGCACUUGGGACUGCAUGGCUGGAGUGCGGGUGGGGCAGGCGGAAGUCGUGGUGUAGCGGUGAAAUGCGUAGAUAUCAGGAGGAA